Mastomys coucha (southern multimammate mouse) is the source of this 1288-nucleotide long non-coding RNA. RefSeq lists it as uncharacterized. The record is from RefSeq and is a predicted model, not a curated record. The transcript is spliced from 3 exons. NCBI's taxonomy places the organism in Eukaryota, Metazoa, Chordata, Mammalia, Rodentia, Muridae.
CACUGCCUGGCUGCUUCUUGUUUGAAAUAAAAGAAAAUGGCUCAACUUCCCUAAAGGAAUAGUUUUGUUUGUAAACAUUUAGUUUUUUUGCUUCUGGGUAGAGGCAGUGGGAAAGAUGGCCCAGAGGGGAUAAAUUGGCCUCCCAGCUGUCAACAGUAUGACGAUUAGAGCUCUGUACAGGAAUAAAUGCUAGUCAGAGGCAGGACUUACAUCAUCAAAUGUGUUAGUAGUUGAUAUAUAUAUAUAUAUAUUUUUUUUUAGCAGAUGUGGUGCUGUGUCCAGGAUGAUAAUGAAUUCAAGCUCUGGAGCUUGAGAUGAACUGGUCAGACUUCCAGAAGAAAGUUUUUUUCCAGGUAAAGCCAGCGAAAUUACUUGACGGUGAGUAAACCUGAUGUUUCUAAUAGUGUCCUCAGAUCUACCAUUACCUGCCAGACUGUCCCCUUAUGAACAAAAGGACAGGCUGUUGCACAGUAGCCCUGUGGUUCGUUACCGUUGCUGUAGGUACUUAACAUGGCUACCUGAACUUAAACUGGGAGGGUAGCCAUUAGGAAAUAGAAACCUACUUCCAGUAUUUCUUAGGAAUCUUGUCAUUUGGAGACUCUAUUCCUAAUUCCUCCCUAAAUGGCCAACCACCAUGUGCAAGGGAACAGCUGUCACACAUAAGCCCAGCCUGAGCUGUGCAGUGGUAGUACACACCUUUAAUCUUGGCAGAGGCAGGUGGAUUUCUGAGUUUGAGGCCAGCCCAUUCUACAGAGCAAAUUCCAGAACAGCUAAGGCUAUGCAGAGAAUCCAAAACACUCCAGGCUGAUUGUGUCAGGCACAGAGCUUUCCUGAGUACUCAGCCUUGGGCCUACUCCGUUCCACAGACACAACGGCCACAGACACAACGGCUGUGCUAUGAUAAAGUCAGCUAGGCUUCUGUUUUCCUGUCAGAGAACUGGCCUCUCAGAAUCGUGCGACCAGCAGUCUGCUAGUCCAGCUGAUGUGCUUAGAAGGCUCUGCCCCUGCUGCAGCAUCUUCUCCCUUGUCCUGGGUGCUCUCCUCCCCCAUGACUUGAGCUAUAUAAGCUAGUCCUGCUAGUUCAAUAGUUGAGCUAUUCUUUGAAACAGUCUCCUAAGUCAUUCAUACCUGCUGCACCCCAGUCUAAGACCUCGCUCCACAUUUCCUCUGUAUCCUAAUACCACCAGUGUUCCGCGCUACCUCCCGCCAGCAGGAACAACGCGGCACACACAGGAUCCUUCUGCAGUACAAGCUUUAAUGCAUCUUGAGAGUGAGAUCACAAGCUUCA